Long non-coding RNA from Ostrinia nubilalis (European corn borer), 326 nucleotides. RefSeq lists it as uncharacterized. The record is from RefSeq and is a predicted model, not a curated record. The transcript has 2 exons. Lineage: Eukaryota; Metazoa; Arthropoda; Insecta; Lepidoptera; Crambidae.
AUGAUACAGUACAUUGCAUCAACAAGCUCAACAUGUUCGCUAAAAUCUUCGCCCUGUUCGCUCUGGUAGCCGUGGCUCUGGCCGCGCCUAAGCCGGCGCCGGCGCCGCAGCAACUGCUGACGUACUCGUCGGGGCUGGACUACGUGUACCCGUCGGGCUACGCCGCGCCCGCCGUCGUCUCGCCCUACGCUGCCGCCCCGCUCGCCUACUCCGCCCUGCCCAAUGCUUACUACUACCGUUAAAUGAUACCGAUCUGUGAUUGAAGAUAUUGAUGUAAACCUUCCAACCGCCAUUUGAUUAGGAUUUAAAUAAAGCAUUCUCAAAAA